RNAcentral lists this transfer RNA (73 nucleotides) under Flaviflexus sp. Its description in RNAcentral is "tRNA-Arg". It matches the Rfam family "tRNA". Rfam says of the family: Transfer RNA (tRNA) molecules are approximately 80 nucleotides in length. Lineage: Bacteria; Bacillati; Actinomycetota; Actinomycetes; Actinomycetales; Actinomycetaceae. The record is from RNAcentral.
GCCUCCGUAGCUCAAUGGAUAGAGCAGCGGCCUUCUAAUCCGCCGGUUUCCGGUUCGAGUCCGGACGGGGGCA